This 385-nucleotide ribosomal RNA is filed under the name Opetia nigra. RNAcentral describes it as "partial 16S ribosomal RNA". The record is from RNAcentral. Lineage: Eukaryota; Metazoa; Arthropoda; Insecta; Diptera; Platypezidae.
UCGAAGGUAGCAUAAUCAGUAGUCUUUUAAUUGAAGGCUUGUAUGAAUGGUUGGACGAAAUAUUAGCUGUUUCAUUUAAAUUUUUAUUAGAAUUUUAUUUUUUAGUUAAAAAGCUAAAAUAUUGUUAAAAGACGAGAAGACCCUAUAAAGCUUAAUAUUUUUAUUAUUUUAUUAAUUUAGUUUAAUUUUAUUAAAUUAUUAUAAAAGUAUUUUAUUGGGGUGAUAUUAAAAUUUAUAAAACUUUUAAUUUAAAAUAAACCAUUUAUUUAUGAUUAAAUGAUCCAUUUUUAAUGAUUAUAAAUUUAAGUUACUUUAGGGAUAACAGCGUAAUUUUUUUGUAGAGUUCUUAUCGAUAAAAAAUAUUGCGACCUCGAUGUUGGAUUAA